GGGAGAGAGAGUGAGAGACACAGGGUUUAGCUAACCUGUUUUCUUUCCCUUCCUCUCUCGACCAUUUCCCGCUUUCAUCAUCCCAACAAAUCUUUUGUCCUUCCUUUCCAUUUCUCUAGGAUCAGUAUGGCUGUUGGAAUUUCCAACAUGGAACACCGAAAUUAAGCAAGGAAGGAAGAUCCCCUGUUGUUGUUUAUGCAUUUUCGGCAACAUGGAUGCCCACCGAACUCUU
RNAcentral lists this unclassified non-coding RNA (232 nucleotides) under Hevea brasiliensis (rubber tree). Lineage: Eukaryota; Viridiplantae; Streptophyta; Magnoliopsida; Malpighiales; Euphorbiaceae. The record is from RNAcentral.